CCCAUUUAAGAAUGGGGGACCCUUGCAUAUCCUCUCAUUUCCCCUUGGUUGGAGAGUUCACUAUUUCAUCUCUUAAAGCACUAAAUCUGUGGCCUUCUGAUCGGGCACAACUGAUUCCUGCAAGUGCCCAUCAGCUCCUGUCACAGAGCGGAGGAGGCAGCAAUAUCAUUGAGCCUCUCCAGACACUCCUACUCAUGAAUGAAUGCCUUACAUGGCAGCCCAAAUGCAAUGCUUUUUUCUUUUAACCUUUUAUGCUGCAGCCCAUGGCGAUAGUAAAAACCAUGUAGGUGAUUUGUAUUCUCCCACCAGGAUCAGUGCAAAGAGAACCAUCGGCUCCGAUUGCAACAGGCUGGAGAAAGUAUGAGAUAUUUCCAUCAGCACCACAGUAUUCAGGUGAAAAGAGACAAGAUAAAAGAGCAGGAGCAAAAGAA
Long non-coding RNA from Myotis davidii, 431 nucleotides. RefSeq lists it as uncharacterized. The transcript is spliced from 2 exons. NCBI's taxonomy places the organism in Eukaryota, Metazoa, Chordata, Mammalia, Chiroptera, Vespertilionidae. The record is from RefSeq and is a predicted model, not a curated record.